RNAcentral lists this ribosomal RNA (551 nucleotides) under uncultured archaeon. Its description in RNAcentral is "bacterial SSU rRNA". It matches the Rfam family "Archaeal small subunit ribosomal RNA", at positions 326 to 879 of the family's 1478-position model. The record is from RNAcentral.
CGGGGUGCAGCAGGCGCGAAAACUCCACAAUGUACGACAGUACGAUGGGGUUAUCUCGAGUGCAGUCCGAUAAGGGCUGCUUUUCCAUAGAGUAAUAUCCUGUGGGAAUAAGAGGGGGGCAAGACUGGUGUCAGCCGCCGCGGUAACACCAGCCCCUCGAGUGGUGGGGACUAUUAUUUGGUCUAAAGCGUCCGUAGCUGGCUGUAUCCGUCCCCCGUUAAAUCCAGCGUCCUAAGCGUUGGACUGCGGGUGAUACCAUACAGCUAGAGGGUGGGAUAGGUGAGCGGUAUUUCUGGGGUAGGGGCGAAAUCCUUUGAUCCCAGGAGGACCACCAGUGGCGAAGGCUGCUCACUAGAACACGCCUGACGGUCAGGGACGAAAGCUGGGGCAGCGAACCGGAUUAGAUACCCGGGUAGUCCCAGCUGUAAACGAUGCCAGCUAGGUGUUGGGUCGGCCACGCGCCGCCCCAGUGCCGCAGGGAAGCCGUUAAGCUGGCCACCUGGGGAGUACGGCCGCAAGGCUGAAACUUAAAGGAAUUGGCGGGGGAGCAC